This is a long non-coding RNA of Limanda limanda (common dab), 1114 nucleotides long. RefSeq lists it as uncharacterized. Lineage: Eukaryota; Metazoa; Chordata; Actinopteri; Pleuronectiformes; Pleuronectidae. The transcript has 2 exons. The record is from RefSeq and is a predicted model, not a curated record.
UCACAGACUGGACUGAGGUCAGCAGCAUGUUGAGAGUCUGUGUUGACAUGAUGACGAUCCACAACAACAGGAGGACACAUUCUAAUAUUCAUAUUUCUUUAUCCAGGUUGUCGAGAUGCAAUCUGUCAGAGAUCAGCUGUUCUUCUCUGGCUUCAGCUCUGAGGUCAAACCCCUCUCAUCUGAGAGAACUGGAUCUGAGGAACAACGACCUGCAGGACUCAGCAGUGAAGGAGCUGCUUGAUCUACAGCAGAGUCCAACCUGUCGACUGGAGACUCUGAGGUGGGGGUCUGUGUGGAGCUGAGUGUGAAGAGGACAGUGUGUGUGGACGGAGGCUGAGCUGUGUCCUGAGGAUCCAGAGGCUGAAGCAGCAGCAGCUUGUGUGUAGUCUCCAAUCUACACAACCCCUAAUCUGCAUGUGUUUGUGAGAUGAAGCCGGAGCACCUGGAGAAAACACGUGGAGAACAUGCAGACUCCACACAGGAAGACCCAUCUGAACCGGAUUCAAACCAGCAACCUUCCUGCCCCGAUUGUGUUUAUUCACAUGAAGAAUGUGUUUAUUGAAAUGACACAACACAAGCAGAAUAUAUAAACCCUCUAUAAAGAGUCACAUACAGUGUGUUUAAGUUUGUCUUUAUUAUUUUCUACCUUUGUCCCUCAGUCUGUCUCCAUGUGUGUAGAACCACAUUCUGUGUAUAUGUCUGUUUAUGAUCUUAAAGUUCCUGGAUUCACGUCACAAAUUGAUUUAGUUCAACACAAAGUUCAACACAUUGAAAUCACUUUGAGUUUAAAAUCAGAGUUUUGUCUUUGACACAAAAGAUCAAAACUCUGGACUUAAAAAUGGGACGUUUUCAUUUCUGCAUCAGGUGCAGAGCGGUGGUGGCUUUUCUACUUUUGACCCACAGGUGGCGCUGCAGUGUAACAGCAGCACAUCCCAGUCACAGCCUUUUAGCAUGCUGGGAAAUAAUUGAUGAUGGGAGGUUCGCAGCAGAGACAAGGGACAGAACGUGUCUGACUUUAAAUGUUCACGUCUCUCCGUCGUGUUGACUGUCGACAUUAAAUGAACCUUCCAAUAUAAUUUGACAAUCAGCUCUAAAUAAAAGCUUUUGAUGUAAA